UGAGGAGUAUUGGUCAAUGGGCGAGAGCCUGAACCAGCCAAGUCGCGUGAAGGAUGACUGUCUUAUGGAUUGUAAACUUCUUUUAUACGGGAAUAACAAGAGUCACGUGUGACUCCCUGCAUGUACCGUAUGAAUAAGCAUCGGCUAACUCCGUGCCAGCAGCCGCGGUAAUACGGAGGAUGCGAGCGUUAUCCGGAUUUAUUGGGUUUAAAGGGUGCGUAGGCGGCCUGUUAAGUCAGCGGUGAAAUCUAGGAGCUUAACUCCUAAAUUGCCAUUGAUACUGGCGGGCUUGAGUGUAGAUGAGGUAGGCGGAAUGCGUGGUGUAGCGGUGGAAUGCAUAGAUAUCACGCAGAACUCCGAUUGCGAAGGCAGCUUACUAAGGUACAACUGACGCUGAAGCACGAAAGCGUGGGUAUCAAACAGGAUUAGAUACCCUGGUAGUCCACGCAGUAACGAUGAUAACUGGGCGUAUGCGAUAUACAGUAUGCUCCUAAGCGAAAGCGUUAAGUUAUCCACCUGGGGAGUACGCCGGCNCGGU
Molecule: ribosomal RNA, 538 nt
Filed under: uncultured bacterium
Lineage: Bacteria
Description: bacterial SSU rRNA
Rfam family: Bacterial small subunit ribosomal RNA
Source: RNAcentral